RNAcentral lists this ribosomal RNA (777 nucleotides) under uncultured Neocallimastigales. Its description in RNAcentral is "partial large subunit ribosomal RNA". It matches the Rfam family "Eukaryotic large subunit ribosomal RNA", at positions 24 to 649 of the family's 3401-position model. The record is from RNAcentral. Lineage: Eukaryota; Fungi; Neocallimastigomycota; Neocallimastigomycetes; Neocallimastigales.
UAUCUCUGUAGAGUCUGCAUAUCAAUAAGCGGAGGAAAAGAAACUAACUAGGAUUCCCUCAGUAACGGCGAGUGAAGCGGGAAGAGCUCAAAUUUGAAAUCUUCAAGGUUCUACCUUGACGAAUUGUAGUUUAAAGAAGUGUUUUCUGUUGGAGUUUUGGUAAAAGUUCUUUGGAAUAGGACAUCAUAGAGGGUGAGAAUCCCGUAUUUGACCAUUAUUUCCAACUUUGUGAUACACUUUCAAAGAGUCGGAUUGUUUGGGAAUGCAGUCCAAAAUGGGUGGUAAAUUUCAUCUAAAGCUAAAUAUUGGCGAGAGACCGAUAGCGAACAAGUACCGUGAGGGAAAGAUGAAAAGAACUUUGAAAAGAGAGUUAAACAGUACGUGAAAUUGUCAAAAGGGAAGCGUUUGACACCAGUGUUGUUUUCUCGAAAAUCAAUUAAAAAUGGCAUGGAUUUUGUGUUGUAUUGACUUUAUCAGCUUUCUGCACUCUUUUCUUGUCUUUUUUAAUGCACUUUUCGCUUAACAAGUCAACAUCAAUUUCUUUUGUUGUAAAAGGGUCAUUGGAAGGUGGCUUUCUUUUCGGAGAAAGUGUUUAUAGCCUUUGGCCUCUGCAAUCGGAGAGAUUGAGGUCUGCAGCGUAGAUCCUUCGGGGUUAGAUAGCAUUUGUGCUAAGUUAUAGCCUUUCAUAGACAACUUGUUGACUAUGAUCAGUCAUGUAGCUUACUCGCUUAUGUCUAUUUUACCUACGCUUAGGAUGUUGAGUAGCGACAUACGCAC